Molecule: ribosomal RNA, 260 nt
Filed under: uncultured bacterium
Lineage: Bacteria
Description: partial 16S ribosomal RNA
Rfam family: Bacterial small subunit ribosomal RNA
Source: RNAcentral
GUCCACGCCGUAAACUAUGGGUGCUAGCCGUCGGUCGGCAUGCCGGUCGGUGGCGCAGCAAACGCAUUAAGCACCCCGCCUGGGGAGUACGGUCGCAAGAUUAAAACUCAAAGGAAUUGACGGGGGCCCCGCACAAGCGGUGGAGCAUGUGGUUUAAUUCGAGGCAACGCGAAGAACCUUACCAGCCCUUGACUUCCCGAUCGGGGGACCAGAGAUGGACCUCUUCAAUUGGUCGGUGACAGGUGCUGCAUGGCUGUCGU